CAUACUGUAGCCCUAACACAAAGAUAUUUGUUGUUGCCACAGGGUGGAGCUCUGCAGCCUGAUGUUAAACAGCAGCUCAAGCUAAAUGUGACUGACUCCAGGUUGAGUUUGACACUUCAAGCUUUCAGACUACUGAACAGUGACCAUGUUUACUGUUGUCUUCAUUGUAUUUUCACUGCUUAAGGAGAGUGUUGAUGCAAAUACAAUAGAAUCUCUCUUACCAGAACAGCAUGUUUCAGUUGGACAAAGUGCUGUUAUCUCUUGUAAAUACAGUGGCAUUGGGCCCAGCUUUCAGUGGUACCGCCAAUAUCCAGGAUCCAGACCAGAGUACCUUAUUUUUAAUGCAGAGACUUCUGUUUCUUCCGAACCCACUUUACGUCUCAAAGCGCAGGCUAAAAAAGAAAUCACAGAAGUGGAACUGGAGAUCUCCUCUACUGAAGUCAAAGACUCUGCUGUAUAUUACUGCGCCCUGAGGCCCACAGUGACAGGAAACCCACCUGCUCUGUACAAAAACUUAAAUACAUUAACACAUCUUGCAUUACACAAAGAUUGUGACUCACCAGCUUUCAAUCAAGCACAAUAAAUCAAUGAUGCAACUGUUCUUAUUUUUCCAAAUGUAAAGAAACAAUAUUAGUUCUUUGAUUUUAAGAAAAGGACAACCCAUUAGCGAAGACAAAGCCUCAGUCGGAGGGUGGAGCAAAUUCACAAGGUUGAAUGUUUGAAAGGCUGAUUCAUUUAGUCAUCCUUCUUUGAUAGUUAUACAAUCACUAUAC
This is a non-coding RNA of Onychostoma macrolepis, 773 nucleotides long. The record is from the annotation of a RefSeq genome assembly. NCBI's taxonomy places the organism in Eukaryota, Metazoa, Chordata, Actinopteri, Cypriniformes, Cyprinidae.